UACGGAGGGGGCGAGCGUUGUUCGGAAUUACUGGGCGUAAAGGGCGCGUAGGCGGCCUGUUGCGUCGGGUGUGAAAGCCCUGGGCUCAACCUGGGAGGUGCACUCGAAACGGGCAGGCUUGAAACCGAGAGAGGAUCGUGGAAUUCCCAGUGUAGAGGUGAAAUUCGUAGAUAUUGGGAAGAACACCAGAGGCGAAGGCGGCGAUCUGGCUCGGUUUUGACGCUGAGGCGCGACAGCGUGGGGAGCAAACAGG
This 253-nucleotide ribosomal RNA is filed under the name uncultured bacterium. RNAcentral describes it as "partial 16S ribosomal RNA". It matches the Rfam family "Bacterial small subunit ribosomal RNA", at positions 524 to 776 of the family's 1533-position model. The record is from RNAcentral.